This is a long non-coding RNA of Coturnix japonica (Japanese quail), 1961 nucleotides long. Lineage: Eukaryota; Metazoa; Chordata; Aves; Galliformes; Phasianidae. The record is from Ensembl.
AAUGGGGGCUAUGGGGUCAAUAGGGUCUAUGGGGACUAUGGGGUCAAUGGGGUCUAUGGGGGCUAUGGGGUGGAUAUGGGGUCAGUGGGGUCUAUGGGGUCAAUGGGGGCAAUGGGGUCAAUGGGGUCAAUGGGGUGGAUAUGGGGUCAAUGGGGUCAGUGGGGGAUAUAGGGUCUAUGGGGUAUAUGGGGCUCAAUGGGGUCUAUGGGAUCUCUGGGGUCAAUGGAGUCUAUGGGGUUAAUGGGGUCAAUGGGGUCAAUGGGGUGGAUAUGGUGUCUAUAGGGUCAAUGGGGUCUAUGGGGUCUAUGGGGUCAAUGGGGUCUAUGGGGUCUAUGGGGUCAAUGGGGUCAAUGGGGUCUAUGGGGUCUAUGGGGGCAAUGGGGUCUAUGGGGUCUAUGAGGUCUAUGGGGUCUAUGAGGUCUAUGGGGUCUAUGAGGGUGUAUGGGGUCAAUGGGGUCAAUGUGGGCUAUAGGGACAAUGGGGUGGAUAUGGGGUCUAUGGGGUCAAUGGGGUCUAUGGGGUCUAUGGGGUCAAUUGGGUCUAUGGGGUCUAUGGGGUCUAUGGGGUCAAUGAGGGCUAUGGGGUCUAUGGGGGCUAUGGGGUCUAUGGGGAUAAUGGGGACACCAGUGGGGUCAUUGGGGGGGAUAUGGGGUCAAUGGGGGUCUAUGGGGUAAAUGGGGUCAAUGGGGAUGUAUGGGGUCAAUGGGGUCUCUGGGGUCAAUGUGGGCUAUGAGGUCAAUGGGGGCUAUAGGGUCUAUGGGGUAUAUGGGGCUCAAUGGGGUCUAUGGGGUCUAUGGGGUCUAUGGGGUCAAUGAGGGCUAUGGGGUGGAUAUGUUGUCUAUAGGGUCAAUGGGGUCUAUGGGGGCUAUGGGGUCAAUGGGGUCUAUGGGGGCUAUGGGGGUGUAUGGGGUCAAUGGGGUCAAUAGGGCCAUUUGGGUCCAUUUAGGGUCCCUUUGGGUGGAUUUUGGGUUGAUUUGGGGUGAUUUUGGGUCCGUUUUGUCCCCAGUUCCCCCCAACUCCCCCAUCAGCCCCGAAUCUCCACCAGCAGAACGGAACCAGACAGAGCGUCCCCCACGUGCGGCCCUGAGAGCGAGGAUGACUACAGCAACGAGGUGUACGCCUCCGGAUACGUGUGAGUGUCAGUGUUGUAUCAUUGUGACGUUGUAUCGUUGUGUAGUUGUAUCAUUGUAUCACUGUUGUGUUGUUGUAUCACUGUGUCCUUGUAUCAUUGUGUUAUUGUGUUGUUGUAUCAUUGUGUCAUUGUAUCAUUGUAUCACUGUGUCCUUGUAUCAUUGUGUGGUUGUAUCAUUGUAUCCUUGUAUCACUGUGUCAGUGUGUCGUUGUAUCAUUGUAUCACUGUGUCGUUGUAUCAUAGUAUCACUGUGUCGUUGUAUCAUUGUGUCAUUGUGUGGUUGUAUCAUUGUGCCAUUGUGUGGUUGUAUCAUUGUGUCAGUGUGUUGUUGUAUCAUUGUGUGGUUGUAUCAUUGUGUUGUUGUAUCACUGUGUAGUUGUGUAGUUGUAUCAUUGUUGUAUCAUAGUGUAGUUGUAUCACUGUUGUGUCAUUGUGUAGUUGUAUCAUUGUAUCACUGUUGUGUAGUUGUGUAGUUGUAUCAUUGUAUCACUGUUGUGUAGUUGUGUAGUUGUAUCACUACAGCAACGAGGUGUACGCCUCCGGAUACGUGUGAGUGUCUCCUAUGGCGUAUAGUUGUGUUGUUGUAUCAUUGUAUCACUGUUGUGUAGUUGUGUUGUUGUGUUGUUGUGUAGUUGUGUUGUUGUGUAGUUGUAUCACUACAGCAACGAGGUGUACGCCUCCGGAUACGUGUGAGUGUCGGUGUUGUAUCACUGUGUCCUUGUAUCAUUGUGUGGUUGUAUCAUUGUGUGGUUGUGUUGUUGUGUUGUUGUGUAGUUGUAUCAUUGUGUCACUGUUGUGUAGUUGUGUAGUUGUGUAGUUGUGUAGUUGU